Molecule: transfer RNA, 72 nt
Filed under: Culex quinquefasciatus (southern house mosquito)
Lineage: Eukaryota; Metazoa; Arthropoda; Insecta; Diptera; Culicidae
Description: tRNA-Glu
Source: RNAcentral
GGGACCGUUGUGUAGGGAUAAACGUGGUUACCUCUCACCCAAUCGGCUUGGGUUCAAUCCCAGACGGUCCCG